Molecule: transfer RNA, 59 nt
Filed under: Mus musculus (house mouse)
Lineage: Eukaryota; Metazoa; Chordata; Mammalia; Rodentia; Muridae
Also listed under: 1 other name
Rfam family: tRNA
About the family: Transfer RNA (tRNA) molecules are approximately 80 nucleotides in length.
Source: Rfam by way of RNAcentral
GUGGCUCAGUGGUUAGAGCACUGGCUUCUCUUGCAGAGGACCUGGGUUCAAGUCCCAGC